UACGGAGGGGGCGAGCGUUAUUCGGAAUUAUUGGGCGUAAAGGGCGCGUAGGCGGCUUGUCAAGUCAAAGGUGAAAUCCCUCGGCUCAACUGAGGAACUGCCUUUGAAACUGUCUGGCUUGAGGCCGGGAGGGGGUAGCGGAAUUCCCAGUGUAGCGGUGAAAUGCGUAGAUAUUGGGAGGAACACCAGUGGCGAAGGCGGCUACCUGGACCGGUUCUGACGCUGAUGCGCGAAAGCGUGGGUAGCAAACAGG
Molecule: ribosomal RNA, 253 nt
Filed under: uncultured bacterium
Lineage: Bacteria
Description: partial 16S ribosomal RNA
Rfam family: Bacterial small subunit ribosomal RNA
Source: RNAcentral